RNAcentral lists this ribosomal RNA (550 nucleotides) under uncultured bacterium. Its description in RNAcentral is "partial 16S ribosomal RNA". It matches the Rfam family "Bacterial small subunit ribosomal RNA", at positions 355 to 893 of the family's 1533-position model. The record is from RNAcentral.
UGGGGAAUAUUGGACAAUGGGGGCAACCCUGAUCCAGCCAUGCCGCGUGUGUGAAGAAGGCCUUUUGGUUGUAAAGCACUUUAAGCAGGGAGGAGAGGCUAAUGGUUAAUACCCAUUAGAUUAGACGUUACCUGCAGAAUAAGCACCGGCUAACUCUGUGCCAGCAGCCGCGGUAAUACAGAGGGUGCGAGCGUUAAUCGGAAUUACUGGGCGUAAAGCGAGUGUAGGUGGCUCAUUAAGUCACAUGUGAAAUCCCCGGGCUUAACCUGGGAACUGCAUGUGAUACUGGUGGUGCUAGAAUAUGUGAGAGGGAAGUAGAAUUCCCAGGUGUAGCGGUGAAAUGCGUAGAGAUCUGGAGGAAUACCGAUGGCGAAGGCAGCUUCCUGGCAUAAUAUUGACACUGAGAUUCGAAAGCGUGGGUAGCAAAACAGGAUUAGAUACCCUGGUAGUCCACGCCGUAAAACGAUGUCUACUAGCCGUUGGGGUCCUUGAGACUUUAGUGGCGCAGUUAACGCGAUAAGUAGACCGCCUGGGGAGUACGGCCGCAAGG